RNAcentral lists this ribosomal RNA (430 nucleotides) under Bacteroidota bacterium. RNAcentral describes it as "Bacteroidetes bacterium partial 16S ribosomal RNA". It matches the Rfam family "Bacterial small subunit ribosomal RNA", at positions 355 to 776 of the family's 1533-position model. The record is from RNAcentral. Lineage: Bacteria; Pseudomonadati; Bacteroidota.
UAGGGAAUCUUCGGCAAUGGGGGGAACCCUGACCAAGCAACGCCGCGUGAGUGAAGAAGGUUUUCGGAUCGUAAAGCUCUGUUGUUAAGGAAGAACGAGUGUGAGAAUGGAAAGUUCAUACUGUGACGGUACUUAACCAGAAAGGGACGGCUAACUACGUGCCAGCAGCCGCGGUAAUACGUAGGUGGCAAGCGUUAUCCGGAAUUAUUGGGCGUAAAGCGCGCGUAGGCGGUUUUUUAAGUCUGAUGUGAAAGCCCACGGCUCAACCGUGGAGGGUCAUUGGAAACUGGAAAACUUGAGUGCAGAAGAGGAAAGUGGAAUUCCAUGUGUAGCGGUGAAAUGCGCAGAGAUAUGGAGGAACACCAGUGGCGAAGGCGACUUUCUGGUCUGUAACUGACGCUGAUGUGCGAAAGCGUGGGGAUCAAACAGG